UACAGAGGUCUCAAGCGUUGUUCGGAUUCAUUGGGCGUAAAGGGUUCGUAGGCGGCGCGGUAAGUCGGGUGUGAAAUCUUGGAGCUUAACUCCGAAACUGCAUUCGAUACUGCGGUGCUUGAGGACUGGAGAGGAGACUGGAAUUCAUGGUGUAGCAGUGAAAUGCGUAGAUAUCAUGAGGAAGACCAGUGGCGAAGGCGGGUCUCUGGACAGUUCCUGACACUGAGGCACGAAGGCCAGGGGAGCAAACGGG
Molecule: ribosomal RNA, 253 nt
Filed under: uncultured bacterium
Lineage: Bacteria
Description: partial 16S ribosomal RNA
Rfam family: Bacterial small subunit ribosomal RNA
Source: RNAcentral